CCGAGUGUGGACCCCCCAUAAAAAAGGGGGGUUACCUCCCGUCCUUUGCUGGGCACCCCUUUCCAGUUGGAUGUGGGUUGUUUUCAGACCCUUCUGCUUCGGCGGGGUAACCCGCCGGAACAACCUCAAAAUAUUCUCAAUUUAAAACUGUUCAGUCCGAGAACUUUUUUUGAAAAGCGAAA
RNAcentral lists this unclassified non-coding RNA (182 nucleotides) under uncultured fungus. RNAcentral describes it as "sequence contains ITS1". Lineage: Eukaryota; Fungi. The record is from RNAcentral.